GAAAUGCGAUAAGUAAUGUGAAUUGCAGAAUUCAGUGAAUCAUCGAAUCUUUGAACGCACAUUGCGCCCGCCAGUAUUCUGGCGGGCAUGCCUGUCCGAGCGUCAUUUCAACCAUCAAGCCCCCGGGCUUGUGUUGGGGACCUGCGGGUGCCCGCAGGCCCUGAAAACCAGUGGCGGGCUCGCUGUCACACCGAGCGUAGUAGCAAUCACCUCGCUCAGGGCGUGCUGCGGGUUCCGGCCGUUAAACAGCCUUACAAAACCCAAGGUUGACCUCGGAUCAGGUAGGAAGACCCGCUGAACUUAAGC
Molecule: unclassified non-coding RNA, 306 nt
Filed under: plant metagenome
Description: partial contains 5.8S ribosomal RNA, internal transcribed spacer 2, and large subunit ribosomal RNA
Rfam family: 5.8S ribosomal RNA (bases 1-105)
Source: RNAcentral